AUGGCUCAGGAUGAACGCUAGCUACAGGCCUAACACAUGCAAGUCGCGGGGCAGCAUUGAGGUAGCAAUACCUCAGAUGGCGACCGGCGCACGGGUGCGUAACGCGUAUCCAACCUGGCCCUUACUCGGGUAUAGCCCUGCGAAAGUAGGAUUAAUCCCGAUGUUGUCAAGAUGGAGCCUUUUUUCUUGACCAAAGAUUUAUCGGUAAGGGAUGGGGAUGCGUUCCAUUAGCUGGUUGGCGGGGUAACGGCCCACCAAGGCGACGAUGGAUAGGGGUUCUGAGAGGAAGGUCCCCCACACUGGAACUGAGACACGGUCCAGACUCCUACGGGAGGCAGCAGUGAGGAAUAUUGGUCAAUGGUCGCGAGACUGAACCAGCCAAGUAGCGUGAAGGAUGAACAGCCCUCCGGGUUGUAAACUUCUUUUGCUGGAGAUUAAGAUGCGCCACUAGUGGCGUAGUGCAGUAAUCCAGCGAAUAAGCAUCGGCUAACUCCGUGCCAGCAGCCGC
Molecule: ribosomal RNA, 508 nt
Filed under: uncultured bacterium
Lineage: Bacteria
Description: bacterial SSU rRNA
Rfam family: Bacterial small subunit ribosomal RNA
Source: RNAcentral